UGGGAUGAUGUGCAUGAUGAUGAUGAUGGGAUGGUGUGCAUGUUGAUGAUGGGUAUAUGGUUGUAAAUGCAAAUAUGUAAGCAUUUAUUUUGUUAAAAUUUGGAAGUUUACAUGUGUUACAUGUUGCUAUUGUUAUUUUAGCAAGAUGACUUGUUUUAAGGAAAAAAGGAGACUUUUUCCUUGAUGUUCUGGUUCUCGCUGCAGCGAGAAUGAAGUUUGCUACAACGAGAAACUUUCUGUCCAUUUUGCUAACUUGUGGGUUUUUGCCAUAUUUCCCAUUUCUUUGG
RNAcentral lists this long non-coding RNA (287 nucleotides) under Theobroma cacao (cacao). RNAcentral describes it as "long non-coding RNA (TCAC_LNC002512)". The record is from RNAcentral. Lineage: Eukaryota; Viridiplantae; Streptophyta; Magnoliopsida; Malvales; Malvaceae.